RNAcentral lists this long non-coding RNA (206 nucleotides) under Nicotiana benthamiana. Its description in RNAcentral is "long non-coding RNA (NBEN_LNC008155)". The record is from RNAcentral. Lineage: Eukaryota; Viridiplantae; Streptophyta; Magnoliopsida; Solanales; Solanaceae.
ACAUAAAUUACAACUAAAGCUUUGCAUUGUCAGAGAUACAAGUUAAAUCCAAUGAUUUAUACGCCAUAGUAUAUCCAUUAAAAUUGUACGAGAAGAAAAAAAAAAGAUAAUCAAAUCACUUGUUUAUUUGGCCUAUCAGCUCCAUUCCGUCGAGUUUAGUUACAUUCCACGCCGAAGAUAUUGCACAAACUUUAUUUAGUUUUAAC